This 635-nucleotide ribosomal RNA is filed under the name Bacillus sp. (in: firmicutes). Its description in RNAcentral is "bacterial SSU rRNA". It matches the Rfam family "Bacterial small subunit ribosomal RNA", at positions 84 to 709 of the family's 1533-position model. Lineage: Bacteria; Bacillati; Bacillota; Bacilli; Caryophanales; Bacillaceae. The record is from RNAcentral.
UUUAGGAUGUUGCGGCAGAGGGUGAGUAACAGGUGGGUAACCUGCCAGUAAGACUGGGAUAACUCCCGGAAACCGGAGCUAAUACCGGAUCGUUGUUUGAACCGCAGGGUUUGGGAUAAAAUAUGGCUUCGGCUACCACUUACGGAUGGACCCGCGGCGCAUUAGCUAGUUGGUGGGGUAAUGGCUCACCAAGGCCACAAUUCAUAGCCUACCUGAGCGGGUGAUCGGCCACACUGGGACUGAAACACGGCCCAAACCCCUACUGGAGAAUUUUCCAGGGAAUCUUCCGUCUGGACGAAAGUCUGACGGAGCAACGCCACGGGAUUGAUGAAGGUUUUCGGAUCGUAAAGCUCUAUUGUUUGGGAAUAACAAGUGCGUGUUACAAUUGGCGGGGCCCUAUUGAGGGUCCCUAACCAAAAUCCCCCGCCAAAUUCCGGGGUAAUACCUAGGUGUAAUACUUAUGUCGGGAAUUAUUGUCCCGAAAUUAUGGGCCUUAAGGGUCUCUAAGGUCUGUUUUUAAAUCCUAAUGUCUAAACCCCCGGGCUCACCUGGGAAUGGUAUUUGUAACUUGGGCAGAAUUUAAUUGCGGAAAAGAAGAUUGAAUUUCCCACUUGCGGCGUGAAAUGGAGGAACAC